This 478-nucleotide ribosomal RNA is filed under the name uncultured bacterium. Its description in RNAcentral is "partial 16S ribosomal RNA". The stretch from base 59 to 478 matches the Rfam family "Bacterial small subunit ribosomal RNA", at positions 34 to 507 of the family's 1533-position model. The record is from RNAcentral.
GGGGGGGGGGGGGGGGGGGGGGGGGGGGGGGAAGGGGGAGGGGGGGGGUGGGGAAGUUCGUUGGGGGGGGGAGGGGAGAGGGAAGUGGCGGGGGGGGGAGGAACGGGUGAGGAACGGACCGUACAAAGGGGGAUAGGCGGUGGGAACGACGAUUAGACCCGCAUGAGCGCACGGAAUAGCAUGAUAUCGGAGUCCAAGAUUUCUCGGUGUAAGAAGGGCUCGCGUCUGAUUAGCGAGUUGGAAGGGUAAAGGCCUACCAAGGCGACGAUCAGUAGCCGGUCUGAGAGUAUGAACGGCCACAUUGGAACUGAGACACGGGCCAAACUCCUACGGGAGGCAGCAGUGGGGACUAUUGCACAAUGGGGGGAACCCUGAUGCAGCGACGCCGCGUGAGCGAAGAAGGUUUUCGAAUCGUAAAGCUCUGUCCUAUGAGAAGAUAAUGACGGUAUCAUAGGAGGAAGCCCCGGCUAAAUACGUC